RNAcentral lists this ribosomal RNA (720 nucleotides) under Rhacophorus orlovi. RNAcentral's name for it is "partial 16S ribosomal RNA". It matches the Rfam family "Bacterial large subunit ribosomal RNA", at positions 722 to 1997 of the family's 2925-position model. Lineage: Eukaryota; Metazoa; Chordata; Amphibia; Anura; Rhacophoridae. The record is from RNAcentral.
UAAGCGAGCUACUUCAAAACAGCUUCAAGAGCCAACCCAUCUCUGUGGCAAUAGAGUGGGAAGAUUUUCAAGUAGAAGUGAAAAGCCUAACGAGCUUAGAGAUAGCUGGUUGUUCGGGAAAAGAAUAUUAGUUCUGCCUUAAGUUUUUCUAUGUUACAAAACAAGUCUAAAAAUUUAAGAGUUAGUCAAUUAAGGCACAGCUUACUUGAAACAGGAUACAACCUAUACACUAGGGUAAACAUUAAGUACUUCACAAAGUGGGCCUAAGAGCAGCCACCUUAUAAAAAGCGUUAAAGCUUAAUCUAUUUUAUUAUUAAUCUAACAAAAUCCCAUGAACCCCCACCCCCUACCGAACGACCCCAUAAAAAUAUGGAAGACACCAUGCUGGAACUAGUAACAAGAAUUUAAAAUUCUCCAAAAUGCAAGCAUAAACCGGAACGGAUAAACCCCCGGCUAUUAACGUAAAUGAACUCAUUACAACAACACAACAAGAAAAACCUGUUCAUUAAGACGUUAAUCUAACACCAGAGCAUUUAAGGAAAGAUUAAAAGAAAAAGAAGGAACUCGGCAAACUCCAACCCCGCCUGUUUACCAAAAACAUCGCCUCUUGCCAAAACAUAAGAGGUCCAGCCUGCCCAGUGAUAAAUUUAACGGCCGCGGUAUCCUAACCGUGCGAAGGUAGCAUAAUCACUUGUUCUUUAAAUGGGGACUAGUAUCAAC